GAGUCUGGCUCAGCAGGUUCAGGGCAUCCCGAUUUAUAAUCGGGAGGGUCGGCGGUUCGAUCCCGUCAACUCCCA
RNAcentral lists this transfer RNA (75 nucleotides) under Bacteroidota bacterium. RNAcentral's name for it is "tRNA-Ile". It matches the Rfam family "tRNA". From Rfam's summary of the family: Transfer RNA (tRNA) molecules are approximately 80 nucleotides in length. Their secondary structure includes four short double-helical elements and three loops (D, anti-codon, and T loops). Further hydrogen bonds mediate the characteristic L-shaped molecular structure. tRNAs have two regions of fundamental functional importance: the anti-codon, which is responsible for specific mRNA codon recognition, and the 3' end, to which the tRNAs corresponding amino acid is attached (by aminoacyl-tRNA synthetases). tRNAs cope with the degeneracy of the genetic code in two manners: having more than one tRNA (with a specific anti-codon) for a particular amino acid; and 'wobble' base-pairing, i.e. permitting non-standard base-pairing at the 3rd anti-codon position. Lineage: Bacteria; Pseudomonadati; Bacteroidota. The record is from RNAcentral.